RNAcentral lists this long non-coding RNA (444 nucleotides) under Homo sapiens (human). Its description in RNAcentral is "non-protein coding lnc-LHFPL6-6:1". Lineage: Eukaryota; Metazoa; Chordata; Mammalia; Primates; Hominidae. The record is from RNAcentral.
CAGUGAGAAACAUGGCUCCCACCAUCUGCCAUCCAUUUGAUUAAUUGUUAAUUUUCAGUAAACAUGUAUAGUAUAUCACAAUUAUUGGCCACUCUCCUUUCAGUGAGGUUGUUCCAAACAUUUGCAAUAAAGUUAGACUAUUUUAGCACAUUCUGUGUUCCAUCCCGGGAUUUCUGGCCUCCUAAAUAAUUUUUUGAGAAAGGAAGCCUGAAUUCAGGUUUAAUUAGGAAUAUAUUUAUCAAAACUCAUCCAACAGUAUGCCACAGACAUGUGCAUUUCACUCUCUACAAAUUUUACCUUCAUAAUACAAAAACUCCCGUUUUUAAAAUAAAUAACCCCAAUUAUGAAUGAAUACAUUUAUAUUUAGAUUUAUGUCUAUAAGACACAUGAAUCUGCAUAAAUCCCUUGGAAUUUAGUUUCUCCUAGAGAAAUGAAUAAAGUUAA